Dracunculus medinensis (Guinea worm) is the source of this 47-nucleotide non-coding RNA. The record is from Rfam. Lineage: Eukaryota; Metazoa; Nematoda; Chromadorea; Rhabditida; Dracunculidae.
CAAACGGUCCUCUUUAGGACCACUAAUUCCAAUGAAUAGAACUUUUU